AGACCGGGUUCCCGCUGCGCGUGAUCGGGCCGUGGUGGUUGUGUGCCCACGUUUAGCAGCGUGCUGGGGUGCUGUAUAAAUUCUAAAAUGCCACUUUUUGGAGGGCAUGCGUUCCGUCCUUAAUCUCAUUCCUGGCCCUCGGGCCAGGGUUAUUUUGGGAGGUCCAUGGCGCCUGCGGUAGCCUUCUACCCCCAACCCAAUCCCCUCUCCACCCCACCUCAC
RNAcentral lists this long non-coding RNA (222 nucleotides) under Homo sapiens (human). Its description in RNAcentral is "HSALNT0004938". The record is from RNAcentral. Lineage: Eukaryota; Metazoa; Chordata; Mammalia; Primates; Hominidae.